This 261-nucleotide ribosomal RNA is filed under the name Proteus mirabilis. RNAcentral describes it as "partial 23S ribosomal RNA". It matches the Rfam family "Bacterial large subunit ribosomal RNA", at positions 508 to 668 of the family's 2925-position model. Lineage: Bacteria; Pseudomonadati; Pseudomonadota; Gammaproteobacteria; Enterobacterales; Morganellaceae. The record is from RNAcentral.
GGAAAGGCGAAAAGAACCCCGGCGAGGGGAGUGAAAAAGAACCUGAAACCGUGUACGUACAAGCAGUAGGAGCCCCACCACUAAGCUAGUGGUGAGUGUCACAGCGAUUCUUUUGCAUGAUAAGUGCGGUAGACGGAGCGAAGCGACGUCCAACCCACAAAAUCAAGCCGAGGAGGCUUAGUGGUGGGGUGACUGCGUACCUUUUGUAUAAUGGGUCAGCGACUUAUAUUCUGUAGCAAGGUUAACCGCAUAGGGGAGCCG